This is a non-coding RNA of Mycena rebaudengoi, 89 nucleotides long. NCBI's taxonomy places the organism in Eukaryota, Fungi, Basidiomycota, Agaricomycetes, Agaricales, Mycenaceae. The record is from the annotation of a GenBank genome assembly.
GAUCCAGUGGUGAAGUGGUAUCAUGCCUGCACAAACUGCAAUUGCCAGUGUUUCUGCGGGAGUUCCCUGUUCAAUUCAGGGCUGGGUCA